RNA transcript from Cicer arietinum (chickpea), 1424 nucleotides. It is a transcript of the gene named putative uridine kinase C227.14, with no coding region annotated. The record is from RefSeq and is a predicted model, not a curated record. Lineage: Eukaryota; Viridiplantae; Streptophyta; Magnoliopsida; Fabales; Fabaceae.
AUCCAAUAAACAAUUUGGUAUCUAAUUACAAAUAACUUGUUCUUGUAACGUCACUUUUUGUUAAAAAGUGUCGCCGUCACCGUUGUUGAAGGUGGUUUUCAUGAUCGAUUAAGUAAAUGGAAGUAAUCUUCUCCUCAACGACGGCAAGAGCAGUUCCUUCCUUACCGAUAACAAAAUCAGGAACUCGCGUUCGGAAUCCGUGUUUACCGUCCAUCUUGCGGCGUAACAACUUCGUGAAGUUAUCAUUUUAUCCAACAUGCAAUCGCAUUAACAAGAGUGCUCUCUUCAAGGUUUUAUCUGCUGAAAAGGAACAUGUUCAAGUUGUAGAGGAAAGUGGUGUUGAUGAGAUAUAUGAUGCAUUGGUUAAACGACUUCUGCCUUCAACGUCAGUGUCAUUAAAUCCUAAUUAUAAGUUGUUUGUUGGCCUGGCUGGUCCUCCUGGUGCUGGAAAAAGCACCAUAGCACAUGAAGUAGCAAAACGCAUAAACAAGCUUUGGCCAGAGAAAGCUUCUUCCUUUGACUCUGAGAUUCAACCUCCUGAUGUCGCUAUUGUGAUUCCCAUGGAUGGUUUUCAUCUUUAUCGUUCUGAACUAGAUGCAAUGAAGAAUCCGGAGGAAGCACAUGCCAGAAGGGGAGCUCCAUGGACAUUCAAUCCCAUGCGACUACUUACGUGUCUCAAGAAUCUAAGAGUUCAAGGAUCAGUUUAUGCACCAUCAUUUGACCAUGGUGUUGGGGAUCCAGUGGAAGAUGAUAUCUUUGUGAACCUUCAGCACAAAAUUAUUAUUGUAGAAGGUAACUAUUUGCUCCUAGACGAUGGGGUAUGGAAGGAGAUAUCAGCUUUGUUUGAUGAGAAAUGAUGUGAGCCUAUGACUGGUUGAAAACUCUCCAAUUCAGAUGAUCAUUAGCUUUUGCUUGUUUCAUGCUGGGAAUAUAUCACAUCAUUGUUGUGUUUAACAAGGUUUAUUGAUAUUGACAUUGACAAAGCAAUGCAGCGAGUUUUAAAGAGGCACAUAUCUACGGGCAAGCCUCCAGACAUUGCUAAGCAGCGGAUAGAGAACAACGACAGACUCAAUGCAGAACUUAUAAUGAAGUCCAAGAAAAAUGCUGAUAUAAUAAUCAAGUCAGUUGAUUUCUGAGGAAUCCGUUUGUGCCAAGUCAGAAUUCUUAUUUUUGGUGAAGCUAAGUCACAAUUCUAGAAACGUGUAAGGAUGACAAUGAAUAUUAGACUCAUUAAAUACCGCAAAAAUUAAGUAUGAUGGGUGGGAUGAUUAGCCGCUUUAUAUCCAUAAAUUUGAAUGGGUAGUAAGUAUAUGUAUACUCUGCCGUGAAACACAUGAAUGACCCACGAAAUACCAAAGAUGAGAUUCCUUAGUGAAAGAGGAGAUAUAUAUGAAUCAAUUUGCAAAUACCAUUUUCCUUAAAAA